UGGCUCAGUGGUUAAGAGCAUUGGCUGUUCUUCCAAAGGACCUGGGUUCAAUUCCCAG
This 58-nucleotide transfer RNA is filed under the name Neotoma lepida (desert woodrat). It matches the Rfam family "tRNA", at positions 8 to 63 of the family's 71-position model. From Rfam's summary of the family: Transfer RNA (tRNA) molecules are approximately 80 nucleotides in length. Their secondary structure includes four short double-helical elements and three loops (D, anti-codon, and T loops). The record is from Rfam by way of RNAcentral. Lineage: Eukaryota; Metazoa; Chordata; Mammalia; Rodentia; Cricetidae.